Podarcis lilfordi (Lilford's wall lizard) is the source of this 70-nucleotide non-coding RNA. The record is from the annotation of a GenBank genome assembly. Lineage: Eukaryota; Metazoa; Chordata; Lepidosauria; Squamata; Lacertidae.
GAUUAAGCUCAGUUGGUAAAGCAUAAGACUCUUGAUCUCAGGGUUGUGGGUUCAAGCCCCACGUUGGGCA